Molecule: small RNA, 51 nt
Filed under: chicken gut metagenome
Description: Streptococcus sRNA SpF59 (ldcC RNA)
Rfam family: Streptococcus sRNA SpF59 (ldcC RNA)
Source: RNAcentral
GACCACUCAGUAUGAGUCCAAGGCCAUACGGACAGCCGGGUCCACUGCCGA